This 403-nucleotide ribosomal RNA is filed under the name uncultured bacterium. RNAcentral's name for it is "partial 16S ribosomal RNA". It matches the Rfam family "Bacterial small subunit ribosomal RNA", at positions 28 to 526 of the family's 1533-position model. The record is from RNAcentral.
GAUGAACGCUAGCUACAUGCUUAACACAUGCAAGUCGAGCGAGUGGCGGACGGGUGCGUAAUGUAUGGGGACUGCCCGAUAGAGGGUUAUAACUACUGGAAACGGUGGCUAAUACCGUAUACUGUCGGAUACCCCAUAUGGGAUGAGCUAGUAGGUAAGGGAAUGACUUACCUAGGCGACGAUCCCUAGCUGGUCUGAGAGGAUGAUCAGCCACACUGGGACUGAGAAACGGCCCAGACUCCGACGGAGGCAGCAGUGGGGAAUAUUGCACAAUGGGCGCAAGUCUGAUACAGCCAUGCCGCGUAUAUGAAGAAGGCCCUAGGGUUGUAAAGUACUUUCAGUCGGGAGGCGUUACCGACAGAAGAAGCACCGGCUAACUCCGUGCCAGCAGCCGCGGUAAUUC